AUUCCAGCUCCAAUAGCGUAUAUUAAAGUUGUUGCAGUUAAAAAGCUCGUAGUUGGAUUUCUGGCAGGAGUGACCGGUCACACACUCUGUGUGUGAACUCGCGUUGUCUCUGGCCAUCCUUGGGGAGAUCCUGUUUGGCAUUAAGUUGUCGGGCAGGGGAUACCCAUCGUUUACUGUGAAAAAAUUAGAGUGUUUAAAGCAGGCUUAUGCCGUUGAAUAUAUUAGCAUGGAAUAAUAAGAUAGGACUUCGGAACUAUUUUGUUGGUUUGCGUUACGAAGUAAUGAUUAAUAGGGACAGUUGGGGGUAUUCGUAUUUCGUUGUCAGAGGUGAAAUUCUUGGAUUUCCGAAAGACGAACUACUGCGAAAGCAUUUACCAAGGAUGUUUUCAUCA
RNAcentral lists this ribosomal RNA (392 nucleotides) under Thalassiosira sp. RNAcentral describes it as "partial small subunit ribosomal RNA". It matches the Rfam family "Eukaryotic small subunit ribosomal RNA", at positions 582 to 975 of the family's 1831-position model. The record is from RNAcentral. Lineage: Eukaryota; Bacillariophyta; Thalassiosirophyceae; Thalassiosirales; Thalassiosiraceae.